Poecilia reticulata (guppy) is the source of this 1577-nucleotide non-coding RNA. The record is from RefSeq and is a predicted model, not a curated record. NCBI's taxonomy places the organism in Eukaryota, Metazoa, Chordata, Actinopteri, Cyprinodontiformes, Poeciliidae.
UUGGGUGAGAGGCUCUGAAGGCUUUGUUUCGUGUCUCUCAGGGUUGGUCUUACUGUGACAGGAGAAAGAUAUUAACAGUGUUGGGGACGCUUGAAGCGGGCCUCCGUCUCCAACUGCAUCUCGAAGCGCUGACUCUACACCCUGCUGGGAUACAUGUGGUCAGACCUACCUACAGGGAUGGAUCCGCGGCGGCAGAGUGGACCACCACCAUCCACAAUCAUAGCACUACCAACAUGUCAACACUCCAGGUUAACCAGAACUUUAGUCAAGCUUUAAGGAGGGCUGUCUGAUAACAGAGGACACACAUUUGAAGAAACAACAACCAUCAGAGCGGACGUGCACCAACUCUCAACACUCAGUCAACAACAGCACAGACGGUGCAUGUUAUUCAUAUGGUUGCUUUAAGUGUUUCUUUCUCUUUGAGGAAGUUCCACCUAUUAUCCUGAAAUAUAAAUCACACAUGUCAUUAAGGUGUCUUUUUUUUCUGAAAACAAUAGUGUCUGUUCUCGAAUGCAGAAGACAGUGGGAGGCUUUCUGUGCCACCCCCGACUCUCUUGCAUCUUGUCGAUGGCUCCACUAAUCGCCAUGACUGACUGACCUUUAGGCCGGUCCCCUUCUGGGAUUUACACCUUUCACUGGCUCGACCUUUGCCAUCCAACCCUCCUACAGACACUCUCGUCACGUGAGCUCAGCAUCAGCGCUGGACAAGACCUGCUGCUGGCCAAUGUGUAGGCUGCUGCUGCCUCAGCAAGUCAAAACCUCUCUAGGUGGUAUGAUUCAGCCGGUGCUUCAUUAACCCACCCCCCAACCUCAACCAGCUCAUCUACCCCCCACCUGCAUCAAGAAAGUUUCCCCUAUGGCCUGGAGCAAGGUAGACCUGCUUAAAGCUCAGCCUAAUGACGUGUGCCAUGGUGCAGGAGACCAAAUGCCACCACCACAUAUGGGGAUGAUUACAGGAAGUGGUGCAGAAUUGUAGGGGGACCUCAAGAUUUUGAGGGGUGGGUGUUGGGGACUCAAUUGUGGCACUGCGGCUGUGAAUUCCCAGAGGCCUUUGUGUGGGGAAACUCAGCAAAAGCUUCAUCCUGCCCAGGUCACGCAAAUUUAGGAAAAAAUGCUCAGCUUCUGGGGGUAGCGUUCUCUUUGUUCCUUAAUUAAACACCCAUGAUGCAUUGCCUUUGCAGAUUUAAUAAAAAACAAACAAAAUACUAGGCAGUGGUUUCCCUUAAAUGGCAAACAAAUAGAUGCACUCAAAGUCAAGUCAACUGUCUUGUUCUGCUAAAGUCAAAAAAACUUUCUUGUUCUUUAAAACAGUGGCUAAAGUUAAUUAAGCUUUUCCUGUUUGUAGAGAAGUUGUUCUUCUCUGAGUCUGCAUGUGCACUGGAGCAUGAAAGAAGAAAGAAAGAAACAAUUUGCUGUACACUUUUUGUAGAUACUUUGUUUUUCUCUACUGAUCUUCUCUGUGAAUCCCAUCCAAACCAGAGGCUUUUCUUUAGCAGUCCGUCUGGUCCAGAAGCACUGAUUUUACUCUCACUAAGAGUGAAAUCAGCACAAGGACUUUUAUACUUCAUCACCUUACU